GCAACAAUAUCAUGUUGCUAUGUCUGUUCCCGUGCGAUCAUCGAAGUUAAGCAACGCCGAGCAAAGUCAGUACCUAAAUGGGUGACCAUUUGAGAAUACCAGGU
This is a non-coding RNA of Acanthosepion pharaonis, 104 nucleotides long. The record is from the annotation of a GenBank genome assembly. NCBI's taxonomy places the organism in Eukaryota, Metazoa, Mollusca, Cephalopoda, Sepiida, Sepiidae.